This 74-nucleotide transfer RNA is filed under the name Myxococcales bacterium. RNAcentral describes it as "tRNA-Arg". It matches the Rfam family "tRNA". Rfam says of the family: Transfer RNA (tRNA) molecules are approximately 80 nucleotides in length. Their secondary structure includes four short double-helical elements and three loops (D, anti-codon, and T loops). The record is from RNAcentral. Lineage: Bacteria; Pseudomonadati; Myxococcota; Myxococcia; Myxococcales.
GGGCGUUUAGCUCAGCUGGAUAGAGCGUUGGCCUCCGGAGCCAAAGGUCACAGGUUCGAAUCCUGUAACGCCCG